AUUGAACGCUGGCGGCAGGCUUAACACAUGCAAGUCGAGCGGGGUGAUGGUGCUUGCACUAUCACUUAGCGGCGGACGGGUGAGUAAUGCUUAGGAAUCUGCCUAUUAGUGGGGGACAACAUCUCGAAAGGGAUGCUAAUACCGCAUACGUCCUACGGGAGAAAGCAGGGGAUCGCUUGUGACCUUGCGCUAAUAGAUGAGCCUAAGUCGGACUAGCUAGUUGGUGGGGUAAAGGCCUACCAAGGCGACGAUCUGUAGCGGGUCUGAGAGGAUGAGCCGCCACACUGGGACUGAGACACGGCCCAGACUCCUUCGGGAGGCAGCAGUGGGGAAUAUUGGACAAUGGGGGGGACCCAGAUCCAGCCAUGCCGAGUGUGUGAAGAAGGCCUUAUGGUUGUAAAGCACUUUAAGCGAGGAGGAGGCUCUUUUGGUUAAUACCCAAGAUGAGUGGACGUUACUCGCAGAAUAAGCACCGGCUAACUCUGUGCCAGCCGCCGCGGUAA
RNAcentral lists this ribosomal RNA (503 nucleotides) under uncultured bacterium. Its description in RNAcentral is "partial 16S ribosomal RNA". It matches the Rfam family "Bacterial small subunit ribosomal RNA", at positions 30 to 523 of the family's 1533-position model. The record is from RNAcentral.